GAUUGCUUUCGAUGCCAAAGACCUGAGGGUAUUGGGCUGCUCAGACGUGCUUCCUUGAGUAGUUGGAUAUGCCUGCUAGGGUUGGACCUCUACUGAUGGUGCUUAUCAUAUUGAUCUGUCGAUUUACGUUUGGAAUUGGUGCCUGCGAUGGCCUGGUAAUGUACCGAUCCAACUUACCUUCCCGAAUCAAGCGCUCGACGAUCUUUCUCAAGCUUAUACACUCUUUUGUACUAUGGCUGUUGUGUUGGUAGUAUUGACAGAAUUUACCGGUAUCCCCGUUGUCCUAUCGAUUGGGCUUCCAAUUAGCCUGCUUCGGUAUGAGCUGGUGCUCGUUCACUAGAGCAGCUUCGUAUGAAGUGUUGAGCAGGGUCAAGACCUCUUGCCCUUGGUUAUGAUUUGGCAAGGGCGCUAGGUGAUUGUCACUGCUAUAUUUCCCUCUAACCUUCUUAGAGUGCUCCUGUCGAGAGUCGAUGGUGUUCUUCCAUUUGUGGCUAGCCUGGUUUUCGACAGACUCAUCAACUGAACCUUACCUUGAUCCUUGUACUAAGAACCUCUGUUGUACUGGUUCCUCCUACCAAGUCGAAGGCCCGAUUUUUGAGUUGAAGUAUUCAGCUUUUGCAUGGAUUGCAGCUUGUUUCAUUAACUCAUCAUAGGUGCACCAAUUACUGUCGUGCACUAAGUACCGGAAGUGUGAG
This 695-nucleotide long non-coding RNA is filed under the name Prunus persica (peach). RNAcentral's name for it is "long non-coding RNA (PPER_LNC006037)". The record is from RNAcentral. Lineage: Eukaryota; Viridiplantae; Streptophyta; Magnoliopsida; Rosales; Rosaceae.